RNAcentral lists this ribosomal RNA (904 nucleotides) under uncultured bacterium. RNAcentral describes it as "bacterial SSU rRNA". It matches the Rfam family "Bacterial small subunit ribosomal RNA", at positions 8 to 916 of the family's 1533-position model. The record is from RNAcentral.
AGAGUUUGAUCAUGGCUCAGGACGAACGCUGGCGGCGUGCUUAACACAUGCAAGUCGAACGAUGAACUCCAGCUUGCUGGGGGGAUUAGCGGCGAACGGGUGAGUAACACGUGAGUAACCUGCCCUGGACUCUGGGAUAACCCCGAGAAAUCGGAGCUAAUACCGGAUAGGACCUUUCCUCGCAUGAGGGUUGGUGGAAAGUUUUUCGGCUUGGGAUGGACUCGCGGCCUAUCAGCUUGUUGGUGAGGUAAUGGCUCACCAAGGCGUCGACGGGUAGCCGGCCUGAGAGGGUGACCGGCCACACUGGGACUGAGACACGGCCCAGACUCCUACGGGAGGCAGCAGUGGGGAAUAUUGCACAAUGGGCGCAAGCCUGAUGCAGCAACGCCGCGUGCGGGAUGACGGCCUUCGGGUUGUAAACCGCUUUUAGUAAGGAAGAAGGGGAGCUUGCUCCUUGACGGUACUUGCAGAAAAAGGACCGGCUAACUACGUGCCAGCAGCCGCGGUAAUACGUAGGGUCCGAGCGUUGUCCGGAAUUAUUGGGCGUAAAGAGCUCGUAGGCGGUUUGUCGCGUCUGCUGUGAAAUCCCGAGGCUCAACCUCGGGCCUGCAGUGGGUACGGGCAGACUUGAGUGGUGUAGGGGAGACUGGAAUUCCUGGUGUAGCGGUGGAAUGCGCAGAUAUCAGGAGGAACACCGAUGGCGAAGGCAGGUCUCUGGGCACUUACUGACGCUGAGGAGCGAAAGCGUGGGGAGCGAACAGGAUUAGAUACCCUGGUAGUCCACGCCGUAAACGUUGGGCGCUAGAUGUGGGGACCUUUCCACGGUUUCCGUGUCGUAGCUAACGCAUUAAGCGCCCCGCCUGGGGAGUACGGCCGCAAGGCUAAAACUCAAAUGAAUUGACGG